CGAACGAAGCAUAUAAAAGGAAUUUCUUCGGAGAGGAAUUUUACAUUACUGAGUGGCGGACGGGUGAGUAACGCGUGGGCAACCUACCCCACACAGGGGGACAACAGUUGGAAACGACUGCUAAUACCGCAUAGGCGCACAGCUUCGCAUGAAGCAGUGUGGAAAACCGAGGUGGUGUGGGAUGGGCCCGCGUCUGAUUAGCUGGUUGGCGGGGUAACGGCCCACCAAGGCGACGAUCAGUAGCCGGCCUGAGAGGGUGGACGGCCACAUUGGGACUGAGACACGGCCCAAACUUAUACGGGAGGCAGCAGUGGGGAAUAUUGCACAAUGGGGGAAACCCUGAUGCAGCGACGCCGCGUGAGCGAAGAAGUAUUUCGGUAUGUAAAGCUCUAUCAGCAGGGAAGAAAAUGACGGUACCUGACUAAGAAGCCCCGGCUAAAUACGUGCCAGUAGCCGCGGUAAUACGUAUGGGGCAAGCGUUAUCCGGAUUUACUGGGUGUAAAGGGAGCGCAGGCGGCUUGGCAAGUCUGAUGUGAAAGGCUGGGGCUCAACCCCAGGACUGCAUUGGAAACUGUUAGGCUGGAGUGUCGGAGAGGUAAGCGGAAUUCCUAGUGUAGCGGUGAAAUGCGUAGAUAUUAGGAGGAACACCAGUGACGAAGGCGGCUUACUGGACGACAACUGACGCUGAGGCUCGAAAGCGUGGGGAGCAAACAGGAUUAGAUACCCUGGUAG
This 732-nucleotide ribosomal RNA is filed under the name uncultured bacterium. RNAcentral's name for it is "bacterial SSU rRNA". It matches the Rfam family "Bacterial small subunit ribosomal RNA", at positions 45 to 793 of the family's 1533-position model. The record is from RNAcentral.